UACAGAGGUCCCAAGCGUUGUUCGGAUUCACUGGGCGUAAAGGGUGCGUAGGUGGCGAGGUAAGUCGGAUGUGAAAGCUCGGAGCUCAACUCCGAAAUGGCAUUGGAAACUACCUUGCUCGAGGGUUGGAGGGGGGACUGGAACUCUCGGUGUAGCAGUGAAAUGCGUAGAUAUCGAGAGGAACACCAGUGGCGAAGGCGGCUUCCUGGCCUGUUCUUGACGCUGAGGCGCGAAAGCUAGGGUAGCAAACGGG
This 253-nucleotide ribosomal RNA is filed under the name uncultured bacterium. Its description in RNAcentral is "partial 16S ribosomal RNA". It matches the Rfam family "Bacterial small subunit ribosomal RNA", at positions 524 to 776 of the family's 1533-position model. The record is from RNAcentral.